This 608-nucleotide long non-coding RNA is filed under the name Suricata suricatta (meerkat). Its description in RNAcentral is "lncRNA (ENSSSUG00005021632.1)". The record is from RNAcentral. Lineage: Eukaryota; Metazoa; Chordata; Mammalia; Carnivora; Herpestidae.
GGAGUCGAUCUGGGAGAGAGUGGACUCAUUUUCUCAGUUCUCACUGAGAACUCUCCAGACGCCAGGCAGAGUGCCGAGCGGUCGGAAUACAGAGAUGCCCAGCAAGCUCACCGUUGACAAGGACCAGAGUUCCAAGCAAAAGGCUCCAAGUACAAACGACCCAGGAGCGAAGGUCUCUUUCAGGGGAAGAGGGCGAGGUGGACACCGACUCUUUCCAGACACGCAUCCACGGCUCCAGUGACCAUUUUAAACUGGAAGAGACAGCGCUCUCUUUAAGUAGCGAUUUCACGACUUCCUCUCUCCGCCUGCAUCACGGCGGCUCUGGAGCAACGAGACCAGUCAUGGAAGCUGACAGAAGUUUCUGCACGGCAGCGUAUACAUUUUGAUGCCUGACAUGAACCUCGAGAGCCGCCGGAUAACCUUCUCAUUCUGAGGCUUGCUGUUUAACUUUAUACACCGUCUGUUGGAUGAGAUGGCGUGGUAGGUGUGAUGUUUCACAGCCCGGAAGACUGGCUUCGCACUCUGGCCUCCGCCCGUGGCCACGAGGGCCAAAGCAGAGAGGUUUUCUGGAACUGACCGCUCUCCCACGCUCUUCAAGACCUACAGGC